This 440-nucleotide ribosomal RNA is filed under the name uncultured bacterium. RNAcentral's name for it is "partial 16S ribosomal RNA". It matches the Rfam family "Bacterial small subunit ribosomal RNA", at positions 338 to 795 of the family's 1533-position model. The record is from RNAcentral.
CCUACGGGAGGCAGCAGUGGGGAAUAUUGCACAAUGGGGGAAACCCUGAUGCAGCGACGCCGCGUGAGUGAAGAAGUAUUUCGGUAUGUAAAGCUCUAUCAGCAGGGAAGAACAUGCCGGUACCUGACUAAGAAGCCCCUGAUAACUACGAGCCAGCAGCCGCGGGAAUACGUAGGGGGCGAGCGUUAUCCGGAUUUACUGGGUGGAACGGGAGCGGAGUCGGUGGUGCAAGUCAGAAGUGAAAGCCGGGGGCUCAACUCCGGGACUGCUUUUGAAACUGUGUGACUGGAGUGCAGGAGAGGUAAGCGGAAUUCCUGGUGUAGCGGUGAAAUGCGUAGAUAUCAGGAAGAACACCAGUGGCGAAGGCGGCUUACUGGACUGUAACUGACGUUGAGGCUCGAAAGCGUGGGUAGCAAACAGGAUUAGAUACCCCUGUAGUC